RNAcentral lists this transfer RNA (76 nucleotides) under Helicobacter mustelae. RNAcentral describes it as "tRNA-Glu(ttc)". Lineage: Bacteria; Pseudomonadati; Campylobacterota; Epsilonproteobacteria; Campylobacterales; Helicobacteraceae. RNAcentral also lists the same sequence under 1 other name. The record is from RNAcentral.
GACCCCUUCAUCUAGUGGCCAAGGAUCCUACCCUUUCUCGGUAGUCACGGAAGUUCAAAUCUUUCAGGGGUCGCCA